AUUAGAUAGUUGGUGGGGUAAUGGCCUACCAAGUCUCGAUCUAUAGCUGGUUUGAGAGGAUGACCAGCAACACUGGGACUGAGACACGGCCCAGACUCCUACGGGAGGCAGCAGUGGGGAAUCUUAGACAAUGGGCGCAAGCCUGAUCUAGCCAUGCCGCGUGAGUGAUGAAGGCCUUAGGGUUGUAAAGCUCUUUCGCCUGUGAAGAUUNUGCCCGCAGCA
This 222-nucleotide ribosomal RNA is filed under the name uncultured bacterium. Its description in RNAcentral is "partial 16S ribosomal RNA". It matches the Rfam family "Bacterial small subunit ribosomal RNA", at positions 240 to 462 of the family's 1533-position model. The record is from RNAcentral.